This 301-nucleotide ribosomal RNA is filed under the name uncultured bacterium. Its description in RNAcentral is "partial 16S ribosomal RNA". It matches the Rfam family "Bacterial small subunit ribosomal RNA", at positions 509 to 807 of the family's 1533-position model. The record is from RNAcentral.
CAGCAGCCGCGGGAAUACGAAGGGGGCUAGCGUUGCUCGGAAUGACUGGGCGUAAAGGGCGCGUAGGCGGCGGCCAAAGUCAGGCGUGAAAUUCCUGGGCUCAACCUUGGGGCUGCGCUUGAUACUUGGUUGCUUGAGUGGGGAAGAGGGUCGUGGAAUUCCCAGUGUAGAGGUGAAAUUUGUAGAUAUUGGGAAGAACACCGGUGGCGAAGGCGGCGACCUGGUCCUUGACUGACGCUGAGGCGCGAAAGCGUGGGGAGCAAACAGGAUUAGAUACCCCCGUAGUCCCUGUCUCUUAUAC